Molecule: long non-coding RNA, 705 nt
Filed under: Junco hyemalis (dark-eyed junco)
Lineage: Eukaryota; Metazoa; Chordata; Aves; Passeriformes; Passerellidae
Description: lncRNA (ENSJHYG00000001949.1)
Source: RNAcentral
CUCAGGUCCUGCAGAUGGGCGGGAUGUGCUCGGAAAGGCCAAACGACGCAAUUAGAGCGGUUAAAAAUUAAUGGUGGUGGAGAUUAGGAGGAGACAGGAAAGGGAGAAAUACCUGCUCCAGAAAGAACCAGGAAUUCUGUUUGUUUUGAUUGACGUGGAAAUUAGAGACGGAACAGAUGGAGCGAGGGUACAGCAGGAUGAGCCGAGCCGAGGCUCUGACACUCUAAUGAGGGAUGAGGAGGCAGGAGCUGCUGAUUGGGUUCUUCUUUGGAGCCUAAUUUGUGUUUUAUUUGCCCUGAUGCUACUGCCAACAGCAACAGACUCCUAACCAGGCUGGCCCUGGACCCCUGGAAGUGCCCAAGCCACCAAACUCUUAAACAGAGUUUUUCUGAUGGGACCUCCGUGGGGAAGGUGAUGGGGCCUUGGAAAAGAAAACUAAAAUCAAGUUCUUACAAGGAAACUCCUGUCACUGUCCCAGCCUCAGCAGAAAGGUGGGAAUUUGCUGAGUGGUGAAAUACAGAAAUGUUGGUCCUGGCUUUGCUGCUACGUUUUCCAGGGGGAUUCACCCAGAGCUGGAUGAAUCAUGGAAUCAUUAAGGUUGGGAAAGACUUUUAAGAUCUCUGGAAUUGUUCAAGGUUGGAUGCCUUUGGAGCAACCUGGCAGAGCGGGAGCUGCCCUUGCCCAUGGCAGAGGGUGGAACUUGGA